CGAGUUCUCCCACACAAACACUCCGAUAAAAUCUCCCUCCCCGAUGAGAUCGACGACCUCGCUCUCUUCCGCCGCGCAACCCUUAAUUCCAUCCACAAACGUAGCGGCGGAGGCGGGCUUAGGGCUGUCUCCCGCCUUGGCACCACCAAUCCACGCCGCAAAAUCGCUUUCCUCUUCCUCACUAAUACCGAUCUCCAUUUUGCGCCUCUUUGGGAACGGUUUUUUACCGGACAUGAAGAUUCGUUUAAUAUUUAUGUUCAUGCGGAUCCUUCUAGUAAGGUCGCUUCUCCCGGAGGUGUUUUUAACGACCGUUUUAUUGCCGGGAAGAGAACCCAACGCGCCUCCCCUUCCCUUAUCUCCGCCGCUCGCCGCCUCCUAGCCACCGCCAUCCUAGAUGACUCCUCAAAUUCCUAUUUUGCCCUCGUUUCUCAACAUUGCAUUCCGCUCCACUCUUUCAGCUUUGUGUACAAUUCUCUCUUCUCAUCGGCG
Molecule: long non-coding RNA, 489 nt
Filed under: Nicotiana tabacum (common tobacco)
Lineage: Eukaryota; Viridiplantae; Streptophyta; Magnoliopsida; Solanales; Solanaceae
Description: long non-coding RNA (NTAB_LNC009412)
Source: RNAcentral